RNAcentral lists this ribosomal RNA (483 nucleotides) under uncultured bacterium. RNAcentral describes it as "partial 16S ribosomal RNA". It matches the Rfam family "Bacterial small subunit ribosomal RNA", at positions 29 to 506 of the family's 1533-position model. The record is from RNAcentral.
AUUGGACGCUGGCGGCAUGCUUUACACAUGCAAGUCGAACGGCAGCGCGGGCUUCGGCCUGGCGGCGAGUGGCGAACGGGUGAGUAAUACAUCGGAACGUGCCCAGUAGUGGGGGAUAGCUCGGCGAAAGCCGGAUUAAUACCGCAUACGACCUGAGGGUGAAAGCGGGGGAUCUUCGGACCUCGCGCUAUUGGAGCGGCCGAUGGCAGAUUAGCUAGUUGGUGGGGUAAAGGCCUACCAAGGCGACGAUCUGUAGCUGGUCUGAGAGGACGACCAGCCACACUGGGACUGAGACACGGCCCAGACUCCUACGGGAGGCAGCAGUGGGGAAUUUUGGACAAUGGGCGAAAGCCUGAUCCAGCAAUGCCGCGUGUGUGAUGAAGGCCUUCGGGUUGUAAAGCACUUUUGGCGGGAACGAAAAGGACUGUGCCAAUACCACGGUUCGAUGACGGUACCCGCAGAAUAAGCACCGGCUAACUACGU